CUGACGUGGCGUUUCUAGGCAGGUAACUAGGAAGUGAACGCGCUGAAGCUCCUCCUCCCACGUGUAUCCGCAGGAACCGGCGGCGGCGUGACGCGGGUGGAAGAAACCGACUGACCGAAACCGGCGGACCGGAGAGAGACAGUCAGGACUGAAGAUGGCAGAUGAUCCGAGCGCGGCGGACAGAAAUGUGGAGAUCUGGAAGAUCAAGAAACUCAUCAAGAGUCUGGAAGCGGCGAGAGGUAAUGGGACCAGCAUGAUCUCGCUCAUCAUUCCUCCUAAAGAUCAGAUCUCCAGAGUGGCCAAGAUGUUGGCUGAUGAGUUCGGUACAGCUUCAAACAUCAAGAGUCGAGUGAACCGGCUGUCGGUGCUGGGAGCCAUUACUUCAGUCCAGCAGAGACUCAAACUCUACAACAAAGUGCCCCAUAAUGGUCUGGUGGUUUACUGCGGCACCAUAGUGACAGAAGAAGGAAAAGAAAAGAAAGUCAACAUUGACUUUGAGCCAUUCAAACCCAUCAACACCUCUCUGUACCUCUGUGAUAACAAGUUCCACACCGAGGCUCUGACGGCGUUAUUGUCAGACGACAGUAAGUUUGGAUUCAUAGUCAUUGAUGGUAGUGGAGCUCUGUUCGGGACUCUGCAGGGAAACACCAGAGAAGUGCUGCACAAAUUCACUGUGGACCUGCCCAAAAAACACGGAAGAGGAGGCCAGUCUGCGCUGCGUUUCGCUCGAUUAAGGAUGGAGAAGAGACAUAAUUACGUGAGGAAGGUGGCAGAGACGGCCGUGCAGCUCUUCGUGUCCAAUGAUAAAGUCAACGUGGCUGGACUGGUGCUGGCCGGAUCCGCAGAUUUCAAAACAGAGCUCAGCCAAUCAGACAUGUUCGACCCGAGGUUACAGGCGAAAGUGUUGAAGCUGGUCGACAUCUCUUACGGAGGAGAAAACGGCUUCAAUCAGGCCAUCGAACUGUCCGCUGAGGUCCUGUCCAAUGUCAAAUUCAUGCAGGAGAAAAAAUUAAUAGGGCGAUACUUCGAUGAGAUCAGUCAGGACACAGGGAAGUAUUGUUUCGGUGUGGAGGACACACUGAAGGCGCUGGAAAUGGGAGCCGGUGAAAUUCUCAUUGUCUAUGAAAACUUAGAGACGAUGAGAUAUGUCCUGAGGUUGCACGGCGCGGAGGUCAACGGCUCGGAGAAUGAUGAGAAAGUCAUUUAUUUGACCCCAGAACAAGAGAAGGACAAAUCGCACUUCAUAGACAAAGAGAAGAGCCACCAAAUGAAGAUAUGCAACGGGUCAGGAACACGAGCUCAUCGAGUGCAUGCCGCUGCUGGAGUGGUUCGCCAACAGCUAUAAGAAGUUUGGAGCGACUCUGGAGAUCGUGACGGAUAAAAGUCAGGAGGGAUCGCAGUUCGUCAAGGGCUUCGGAGGAAUCGGAGGUAUUUUGCGGUACCGAGUGGAUUUCCAGGGGUUGGAAUACCAGGGAGAAGAUGAGGAAUUUUUUGAUUUGGAUGACUACUAGGUAGUCAAGACUGAGCUAGAGAGAAAUCAAUGAAGAUUUGAGGAAUCAUUGGGAAAAAAAUAGUUCUUUCUUACCAAAUACUCAAAAACACAGAGCUUGAGAAGUGUGUCGUCUGUCAGUCAAAUGAAGGACAGAACCGUUCAUGAAUAAUUAAACAGCCCAGGUUUUAGAGCAUUCUGAUUGGACGGGAUUCAUUUGUUUAUUCUCUUCCCCUGUUUGAAUUAAAGUCGCAGUAACCUUCUGACUGUUUGGACUCGAUUUGAAAUGUUUAUUUUUCUUUUUAUCCUCUGUUUCCUGUUCUUCUCAUCACAACUUUUUCCACCAUAAAUCCACAACUAGUUUUCUUCCUUUUUUAUUAUUAUUGGCGAUAGCUGCUGCUGUAUUUUGACAGUCUGGUAUUUUUACAUGGGUUUCUGUAAUGAAUGGGGGAAAACAAAAUAAAUUUGAAUUCUGAAGUAA
This is an RNA transcript of Cyprinus carpio (common carp), 1970 nucleotides long. It is a transcript of the gene named eukaryotic peptide chain release factor subunit 1-like, with no coding region annotated. NCBI's taxonomy places the organism in Eukaryota, Metazoa, Chordata, Actinopteri, Cypriniformes, Cyprinidae. The transcript has 12 exons. The record is from RefSeq and is a predicted model, not a curated record.